UCUGCAAAUCCAUACUGUCAUGCCUAUUCCCCAAUAUCGCCAACGCGGAUAGUUCGUUAGGCGAAAAUACUGAAUAAUUAAACAAGCCAAAUGGCAUCACUGGUGGUUCUUUUUUCUACUCCGCUAAACUGUCAUCUCAAACAAAAACAAAUGGAUUAUACAACUGCUAUGAAUACAUUCGACUCGUUUGCUUCCAUCAAUCGGUAAGUGAGAAAAAUGAUUUCUCCCAUCACCACAGUGCGGAUUUCCACUUCUAUCACAGCAGCCAACAACAUCCGUUUUCCUGCAGCAGUAACCUCCAACCCCUGUUGGCAAUGCCGGGGGACAGCAUUAACAGCAGCAGCAGCAGAAUUUGACCAUGGUAUGGUAUUGCGAAAAACUUUCCCCAUUAGAGGUUCCGUGCUUCGCGCACAUUCAAAAAUCCUCUUCAGACACGAAAACUCAACGACAAGGAGGUAUUUAUCAACUUGCUCAGCUGAAUUACCACCCGGAGGAACCCGAAUGCACUGAUUCCGUUGUAUAGUAGAAUGAAAAUAGGCGAGGUAAGCGAACGUAAUCGCAUGAUAUUUUAAUGUUCGCAUUUUUAUCCGGAUCAUACAACUGCUAUGAAUGCAUACGACUCAAUCAAUCGGCAAAUGAGAAAGAUGAUUUCCCUCAUCACCACAUUGCUUAUUUCCACUUCUGUCACACCAGCCAACAGCAUCAGCUUUCCCGCAGCAAUAUCCUUUAAGUCCAGGGUGCUAUUCCGGGGAACAGCAUCAACAGCAACAGCAGCAGGACCUGGCCAUUGAUAGUAUUUCGAGCAAUUUUCCCCAUCGAAGAUCCCGUGCUUCACGCACAUUGAAGAAUCCUCCUCAGCCACAUAUCUGUGUCAUCAAGGGCAAGGAGGUAUUCAUCAAUGUACUCAGUCGGAUUUGAAUCGUCAAUCCAGAUAACCCGGAUGCACCGAUUCCAUUAUAUACCUUAUUUUUUCAUUAUACAUGGUUUUUUAUUAUUUUUUUUUUCAAUAAAAUGAUUAAAAUCGA
Toxorhynchites rutilus septentrionalis is the source of this 1025-nucleotide long non-coding RNA. RefSeq lists it as uncharacterized. Lineage: Eukaryota; Metazoa; Arthropoda; Insecta; Diptera; Culicidae. The record is from RefSeq and is a predicted model, not a curated record. The transcript is spliced from 3 exons.